RNAcentral lists this long non-coding RNA (626 nucleotides) under Brachypodium distachyon (stiff brome). Its description in RNAcentral is "long non-coding RNA (BDIS_LNC001850)". Lineage: Eukaryota; Viridiplantae; Streptophyta; Magnoliopsida; Poales; Poaceae. The record is from RNAcentral.
AGCCAAAGAAGGGGUCCAAGAACACUAAACCCAUCACAAAAACUGAGAUGUGUGAUAGCUUCUUUAAUUUCUUCACUCCACCUCAAGUUCCAGAUGAUGAUGAGGAAAUUGAUGAGGACACAGUAAGUUUGCCCUUGUACAUGGCUGCUCUUUAAUUUUGAGACUUGUUUGCAUGAGCAUGAUCUGAUGUUUCUCACCUUUCAACAGGCUGAACAGUUGCAAAACCAAAUGGAGCAAGAUUACGAUAUUGGGUAUGCUCAUGUCAAUAUGUCACAUCUAUUGUAUUGUACACAGUGGCUGCUGUGUUGUGCUUUAAAGUUUAUUUCCUAGUUCUAAGUUGUCCAUUCUUGCUGCAGAUCUACCAUUAGAGACAAGAUUAUCCCGCAUGCUGUUUCAUGGUUCACUGGUGAGGCUGCUCAAGAUGAGGACUUUGAUGGCAUCAUGGAUGGUGAAGAUGAUGAUGAUGAAGAUGAUGACGAGGAUGAAGAUGAAGAUGAGGACGAUGAGGAAGACGAAGAUGACGAGGGUGAUAAGAAGGUAUGGAAGGCUGAGAGCAGUUUCAUGCUUUAACUUGAUUAGUUUCAUAAAUCCUCAUUUCUUACCAUUUUUGCUUUGUUGACUGGAAC